GGGAGCCGUGUAAAUCGAGAGGUUUACGCACGGUUCUGCGAGAGACUCGGGGCGCAAUUCCCCGGGUCUACUCACC
Molecule: non-coding RNA, 76 nt
Filed under: Paraburkholderia sp. BL6665CI2N2
Lineage: Bacteria; Pseudomonadati; Pseudomonadota; Betaproteobacteria; Burkholderiales; Burkholderiaceae
Source: RNAcentral